This 1851-nucleotide long non-coding RNA is filed under the name Macaca mulatta (Rhesus monkey). RNAcentral describes it as "lncRNA (ENSMMUG00000064216.1)". The record is from RNAcentral. Lineage: Eukaryota; Metazoa; Chordata; Mammalia; Primates; Cercopithecidae.
CUCCAGGAAUCCCUUCAGAGCACUUUAUUUUCAGGCGAGCACCGGGCGCUCUACAGACCUAGACCUGGGCUGUGGAAAGGGAAGAGCAGAGCGGAUGGGUUACGCAGAGGAUGCUCAGGCUGAGCCUCGGGGUCUGGCGCUCCUGGACUCUGCUGAGGGCUGACAGGGAAGGACAGGUGCCUUCCUCUGAGCCCGGCUUUGAACAGAUCUGGUACCAAGGCGAGAGGAACAGCUUGAUGACUCUAAUUUCAAAAAGGGACAGUGAGAAACUCGGGUGCUUUGGUGAAAAGGGCUCAUUUGUGGAGUUACUUUGCAAAAUCACAUGGUUCGUAAACUCCAGGUAAACAUUUUAACUUCAAAUCUCUUCACAUGGGAAGGAAACUCCCAUCCAUGAAGAAAUUUUAUCCAUGGGGUAGAAGACAGUUUCAUGGAAUUCUCAUCAUUUGCAUAGCUUUAAAAAAAAACACCAGAAAAGAAUUAAGUCUCGCUGUCACAGAAGACUCUAAAUGGAGCUUUUAUUCGAAGAAUAUAUUAAGAGGUAGGAUGGUUGCAUAAAGGUUGCAAUAGGAUUGGAAUUUCUAAACUAUUGCUUUCUCGCGUACUGGGUCUGGACAAGCCAGGCAGUGCUUUAGUGCCUCUGUGCCCUUGCCUAUGAGAUAUUAUUGAAACACUUUCACUAUGACAGUGGACAAGAAUAUAUAAUGGAGGACUAUUGUAAACUCACAUUGUAGAUUAUUAUUGGAGCGCUGAUAAAGCCUACGAGUUAGUGGUAGGGUAAAAGAAUACUAGAAAAGAGUUCCUGGAAUACAAAGUAAAAACUACAGAUUCUCUGAGGAGCAGGACAACAGUGUGGUAAGAACGAGGAACCAGGGGGCAGUACAGGAUCUGCUCUCCAAUCCUAUUGUUCUGAUCUCAUCUUCCCACCUCAUUCUAUUCCAGAUUCAUUGGCCUCCUUGCUGUUUCUAGAAUAUACUAAUGAUGCUUGGAAUAACAUUCCAUAUACCAGCAUGCCUUCCUGCCUUCAGAUGUCUGCUCAAAUGUGACUUCAUUGCAGAGGCUUGCCCCUGUGAUCCUGCAAAAAAUGCCUCUCACUCACUCACAUCAACUUUCAUCUCUUUAACUGUUUUAUUUUAUUUUACUACCACAUGACAUUUGCUUCCCAUGAAAACAGAAGCCUCAUGAGAGCAGGAACUUUGUUUAUUGCUGUAGUACCAGAAUCUAUAGUGUAUGGAUGGAAAUGAUUGAAUAAACUGGAAUAGGGACAGAAUACCUGGGUUCCAGGCCUUCCUCACUGUGUUAACAUGGACAAGACAGGACAAGAGAUAGUAUAUAUUUUUUUUGCUUAGUAGUUGUAAAGAUUAAGGGAAGAAGGAAGAAACAUUUAGGAACACCUACUACUAAGCAAAGUAAUUUUCAUUAAGUUUCAUAUCAAUCUGAUAAAUAUUAGUACUCCCAUUUUACAGAUUAACUGCAUCUAAGAGAGUUUGUGACUUCUGUAAAAUCUAGUGCUAUUAAAGUGUGCAAAAUAAAGAUUAAAUAUAUCACAUGUAAAUGCAAGCUAUUUUUAUAAUCAAACUAGUUACACUUUAUCGUUUUUCCUUUUUGUGGAAAAGAGGGUCUGCUAUAUUGCCCAGGCAGGCCUUGAGCUCCUGAGCUCCAGCUAUCCUCCCACCUCUGUCUCCCUAAGUGCUGGGAUUAUGGGCAUGAGCCACCACAUCUGACUGAUCAAAUUAGUAAUGAAAUUAAUAAAUAACUACUUUUAAUAAACCAUCUAUAAUUUACUAGAUAAAAAUUGUAUAUAGAUAGGCCAGUUUCUUCAUUUUUAUAACUUUAGGCAUGGAAUAAGACAAG